RNAcentral lists this ribosomal RNA (702 nucleotides) under Triticum aestivum (bread wheat). Its description in RNAcentral is "partial small subunit ribosomal RNA". Lineage: Eukaryota; Viridiplantae; Streptophyta; Magnoliopsida; Poales; Poaceae. The record is from RNAcentral.
AUGUACAUGGCUUUCCAGGUGGACGAACAUACGUUCAAGGUGUGUUCUAUCAUGGGCAUGUCAGAUUCAGAACCUGAAGACCCAGACAAGGGAAGGAACUACUUUGUGAAGGCAUCGAUGAGCGAAGGCGAAUAUUACUGCCAAUGCUGCAAAUUCAAACGGGACGGGAUUGUGUGCUAUCACAUACUAAAAGUAAUGGACAUGAAUGCGGUGACACGAAUGCCCCGCCAUUUCAUAAGGCGGCGAUGGACUUGGGACGCUGACGACGCAUUGGCGCCGCAAAUAUCAAACGCAGUUUUGGCUGUGCAUGACGAGAGACCAGAGUCAACCAUGGAUGCCGUGAGGCACGUUGUGUUGACAAAGAACUAUGCCGAACUAAUAGAUGAAGCGUGCAAGAGUGAUGAGACAGCGAGGGUCACAGAAAAACACAGGAAGGCCCUGAAAAGAGAGCUUGAUGAGAUCAAGAAGAGAAAAGCUGAGGAAGCCUUACACAGGUUCCCCCAUACCACAAGUGUGCCUUCGUCCACGGGGCCAUCAUCUGAAAACUCGGAGGUAGGAUCUGGAAUAGCAAGCACACAAACCCAGGUCAGGAAUCCGCCCCGUUCCAUCACAAAAGGGCGUCCAAAAGAGAUAAGAUACAAAUCAGGAUUGGAGAUUCAAGCAAAGCACAAGAAAACAAAGAAAGGGACGGGCAAUCCGUAA